RNAcentral lists this ribosomal RNA (433 nucleotides) under uncultured bacterium. Its description in RNAcentral is "partial 16S ribosomal RNA". It matches the Rfam family "Bacterial small subunit ribosomal RNA", at positions 29 to 507 of the family's 1533-position model. The record is from RNAcentral.
AACGAACGCUGGCGGCAUGCCUAACACAUGCAAGUCGAACGAGACCUUCGGGUCUAGUGGCGCCCGGGUGCGUAACGCGUGGGAACCUGCCCUUAGGUUCGGAAUAACUCCCCGACAGGGGUGCUAAUACCGGAUAAUGUCUUCGGACCAAAGAUUUAUCGCCUUUGGAUGGGCCCGCGUUGGAUUAGCUAGUUGGUAGGGUAAAAGCCUACCAAGGCGACGAUCCAUAGCUGGUCUGAGAGGAUGAUCAGCCACACUGGGACUGAGACACGGCCCAGACUCCUACGGGAGGCAGCAGUGGGGAAUAGUGGACAAUGGGCGAAAGCCUGAUCCAGCAAUGACGCGUGAGUGAUGAAGGCCUUAGGGUUGUAAAGCUCUUUUACCCGGGAUGAUAAUGACAGUACCGGGAGAAUAAGCUCCGGCUAACUCCGUG